UGAUGUUGAAGGACUUCUACCAGAGGAAGACACUGGUCUACCAACCGAAGAAGCCGAGGGUGAUUUAUCGGAUUCAGAGGAAUUUUGGAAGCCAUUUAUUGCAUCCUCACCAGUUGAGAAGUCAAUCAAAGCUAACAAUGGUUAUGUUCCAUGAAAGGAGCACAAGUCUAAUCUUAAGAAUGAUGACUCCGAAGACAUUGGUGAAGCCAACUUUGUGAAAGCAUCCAAUUCUGAACUCAAGUCGUCGAAGUCAGGGAAGAGGAAUAAAUGGAAACCUGAAGAAAUUAAGAAGUUGAUCAACAUGUGUGGAAAACUACACAAUAGAUUUCAAAUUGUGAAGGGAAGGAUGGCUUUAUGGGAAGAGAUAUCUCAGAGCUUGUUGGCUGAUGGGAUCAGCAGAAGUCCUGGACAGUGUAAAUCGCUUUGGACAUCUUUGGUACAGAAAUAUCAGGAGAUCAAGAACGAGAAGGGUAGUGUAGCAAGAAUAGUUGGCAAUAUCUUGAGGACAUGGAAAAGAUAAUGCCUGAUAGUGAAGCAAUGACAACAAAAUGAUGAAAAAAGUUGGUAAAGGAAGGAACAUGAUAAAAAGAACAUAUAUAUAAAAAAGAAACACUUUGGGAUGUUUCCACAUGAAGAUUGAUACCAAGUGUGUGGAUGUUAACAGUGCUGAAAGUUGCAUCAGUUGCAUGAUUUGUGGUAUGGACUCAUGGCAUUCAAGAUCCAUAGUUUUGUGAGGGCUGAAGAUAUAGACAACAUUAAAGGGAAGUCAAUGAGGGUAGUAUUUUUGUUUGGGGGACUGCUGAUAUAAUAUCCCACCAUAGUUACCCUCCCACUUAUUUAUAUCCCUUUUCCUAAUGAUGUAUCAUAUCUAAUUUUAUUAUUUUUUUUAUAUGGGAACAUCGGCACAAUAAGCAACCAUGGACAACAGUUAAAUAGUGAAGGGAAAAAUCUUUGAUGUUU
Non-coding RNA from Arachis ipaensis, 960 nucleotides. NCBI's taxonomy places the organism in Eukaryota, Viridiplantae, Streptophyta, Magnoliopsida, Fabales, Fabaceae. The record is from RefSeq and is a predicted model, not a curated record.